CUGAGAGGAAGGUCCCCCACAUUGGAACUGAGACACGGUCCAAACUCCUACGGGAGGCAGCAUUGAGGAAUAUUGGUCAAUGGGCGAGAGCCUGAACCAGCCAAGUAGCGUGAAGGAUGACUGCCCUAUGGGUUGUAAACUUCUUUUAUAAAGGAAUAAAGUUGGGUAUGGAUACCAGUUGCAUUCCUUUAUGAAUAAGGA
RNAcentral lists this ribosomal RNA (201 nucleotides) under uncultured bacterium. Its description in RNAcentral is "partial 16S ribosomal RNA". It matches the Rfam family "Bacterial small subunit ribosomal RNA", at positions 292 to 492 of the family's 1533-position model. The record is from RNAcentral.